Molecule: transfer RNA, 42 nt
Filed under: Gilbertiodendron diphyllum
Lineage: Eukaryota; Viridiplantae; Streptophyta; Magnoliopsida; Fabales; Fabaceae
Description: partial tRNA-Phe
Source: RNAcentral
UUGGGAUAGCUCAACCAGUAAAGCAGAGGACUGAAAAUCCUC